GUGCCAGCCGCCGCGGUAAUACGUAGGGUGCGAGCGUUGUCCGGAAUUAUUGGGCGUAAAGAGCUCGUAGGCGGUGUGUCACGUCGAUCGUGAAAACUUUCAGCUUAACUGGGAGCUUGCGGUCGAUACGGGCAUCACUGGAGUUCGGCAGGGGAGACUGGAAUUCAAGGUGUAGCGGUGAAAUGCGCAGAUAUCUUGAGGAACACCGGUGGCGAAGGCGGGUCUCUGGGCCGAUACUGACGCUGAGGAGCGAAAGCGUGGGGAGCGAACAGGAUUAGAAACCCGUGUAGUCC
Molecule: ribosomal RNA, 293 nt
Filed under: uncultured bacterium
Lineage: Bacteria
Description: partial 16S ribosomal RNA
Rfam family: Bacterial small subunit ribosomal RNA
Source: RNAcentral